AGCCUCGUAGCUCAGCUGGUAGAGCACUCGCGCUACUAAAGCCAGGGUGGUAACCAUGAGUGGGUUUGAAUCCCGCCGGGGCCA
RNAcentral lists this transfer RNA (84 nucleotides) under Fasciola gigantica. It matches the Rfam family "tRNA". From Rfam's summary of the family: Transfer RNA (tRNA) molecules are approximately 80 nucleotides in length. Their secondary structure includes four short double-helical elements and three loops (D, anti-codon, and T loops). Lineage: Eukaryota; Metazoa; Platyhelminthes; Trematoda; Plagiorchiida; Fasciolidae. The record is from Rfam by way of RNAcentral.